GUCGGCCACAAAAAUGGAUUCUAAAGAGUAGUAUUUUGGCUAUAUGAUUUCAUUUUAACUUCGAAAGUAUUCCAAUUUUACAUAAAAUCCUCAAAACUACGGCCAAAAUUUUCACAAAUGGAAUAGAAGUAUUCCUUCGCUGAGUGGAAAUUAAUUUAUGGGAUUUAUUUGGUAACACGUGUGGCUAUUAUUUUAAAUUGAACGUCGCUCAUUUAUAUAAUAUAUAUAUCAUUAUCAAUUAUUGGAAAGUUGGGUUCCUUGCCAAAUCACUGCAUAUG
Molecule: non-coding RNA, 278 nt
Organism: Paramuricea clavata
Lineage: Eukaryota; Metazoa; Cnidaria; Anthozoa; Malacalcyonacea; Plexauridae
Source: the annotation of a GenBank genome assembly